RNAcentral lists this ribosomal RNA (253 nucleotides) under uncultured bacterium. RNAcentral's name for it is "partial 16S ribosomal RNA". It matches the Rfam family "Bacterial small subunit ribosomal RNA", at positions 524 to 776 of the family's 1533-position model. The record is from RNAcentral.
UACAGGGGGGGCAAGCGUUGUUCGGAAUUACUGGGCGUAAAGGGUCUGUAGGUGGCCAACUAAGUCAGACGUGAAAUCCCUCAGCUUAACUGGGGAACUGCGUCUGAUACUGGAUGGCUUGAGUGUGGGAGAGGAAUGCGGAAUUCCAGGUGUAGCGGUGAAAUGCGUAGAUAUCAGGAGGAACACCAGUGGCGAAGGCGGUGCUCUGGGCCGGAACUGACGCUGAGGAGCGAAAGCGUGGGGAGCAAACAGG